AUACGGAGGGAGCAAGCGUUAUUCGGAAUCACUGGGCGUAAAGGACGCGUAGGCGGGUUUGUAAGUCAGGUGUGAAAUCCUACAGCUCAACUGUAGAACUGCACUUGAAACUACAGACCUAGAGUAUGGAAGGGGCAGAUGGAAUUAGUGGUGUAGGGGUAAAAUCCGUAGAUAUCACUAGGAAUACCGAAAGCGAAGGCGAUCUGCUGGGACAUUACUGACGCUGAGGCGUGAAAGCGUGGGGAGCAAACAGAAUUAGAAACCCUUGUAGUCC
Molecule: ribosomal RNA, 274 nt
Filed under: uncultured bacterium
Lineage: Bacteria
Description: partial 16S ribosomal RNA
Rfam family: Bacterial small subunit ribosomal RNA
Source: RNAcentral